Molecule: unclassified non-coding RNA, 198 nt
Filed under: Saitozyma podzolica
Lineage: Eukaryota; Fungi; Basidiomycota; Tremellomycetes; Tremellales; Trimorphomycetaceae
Description: partial internal transcribed spacer region
Rfam family: Eukaryotic small subunit ribosomal RNA (bases 1-46)
Source: RNAcentral
AAGUCGUAACAAGGUUUCCGUAGGUGAACCUGCGGAAGGAUCAUUAGUGAACGCCCUCACGGGCUUAUACUAUUCCAAACCUCUGUGAACCGUGCCCUUCGGGGCUAUUUUACAAACAUGGUGUAAUGAACGUCAUAUAUCAUAACAAAACAAAACUUUCAACAACGGAUCUCUUGGCUCUCGCAUCAAGAACGCAGC